Molecule: unclassified non-coding RNA, 555 nt
Filed under: Hevea brasiliensis (rubber tree)
Lineage: Eukaryota; Viridiplantae; Streptophyta; Magnoliopsida; Malpighiales; Euphorbiaceae
Source: RNAcentral
ACUCUUCUAUGCUCAAAGCACUUCUCCACUAUUCAGCUACCCGUACUGUUAAGUUCUCCUCGUUGAUACGGAGAGACUGCCCUUGUCCAAGCUCCUUCUUGGCCUCAUUUUGUCGGCCUUUACCUUUCUUGAUCGUUUUCCCUCGCUCUGUCGUUGCUUGUUUUCACAGGCACACGGUCGUCGCUAUGGCUGAACGUCCUACAGAAACCACGUCCACUUCUCACAAGUACACCAAUCGUCUUGCUGCUGAGCACAGCCCUUAUCUCCUCCAACAUGCCCAUAACCCGGUUGAUUGGUAUCCGUGGGGGGAAGAAGCUUUCGCUGAAGCGCGCAAAAGAGACGUGCCCAUCUUUUUAUCGAUUGGAUACAGCACCUGCCAUUGGUGUCAUGUUAUGGAGGUGGAAUCUUUUGAGGAUGAAGGAGUCGCCAAAUUGUUGAAUGAUUGGUUUGUUAGUAUUAAGGUCGAUCGAGAGGAAAGACCCGACGUUGAUAAGGUUUAUAUGACAUUCGUGCAAGCAUUAUAUGGUGGUGGAGGAUGGCCACUUAGCGUCUUCC